UUCUAGCCCUGAUAGAAGCGGUUACCCCGCAGCUUGCACAGGACAGUGGGUGGGUUUGGAGUGUGGGAAAGCUUUAGAGUGAGGAGUAUGAGCGGAUAGCGGGGAAAAGC
Molecule: small RNA, 110 nt
Filed under: Chryseobacterium sp. 7
Lineage: Bacteria; Pseudomonadati; Bacteroidota; Flavobacteriia; Flavobacteriales; Weeksellaceae
Description: Flavo-1 RNA
Source: RNAcentral